This 253-nucleotide ribosomal RNA is filed under the name uncultured bacterium. RNAcentral describes it as "partial 16S ribosomal RNA". It matches the Rfam family "Bacterial small subunit ribosomal RNA", at positions 524 to 776 of the family's 1533-position model. The record is from RNAcentral.
UACGUAGGGACCAAGCGUUGUCCGGAUUUACUGGGCGUAAAGAGCGCGCAGGCGGUCGAUUUAGUCGCGUGUGAAAGCCCCCGGCUCAACUGGGGAGGGUCACGCGAUACUGAUCGACUCGAAGGCAGGAGAGGGUAGUGGAAUUCCCGGUGUAGUGGUGAAAUGCGUAGAUAUCGGGAGGAACACCAGUGGCGAAGGCGACUACCUGGCCUGUUCUUGACGCUGAGGCGCGAAAGCUAGGGGAGCAAACGGG